Molecule: ribosomal RNA, 495 nt
Filed under: uncultured bacterium
Lineage: Bacteria
Description: partial 16S ribosomal RNA
Rfam family: Bacterial small subunit ribosomal RNA
Source: RNAcentral
GACGAACGCUGGCGGCGUGCCUAAUACAUGCAAGUAGAACGCUGAAGGAGGAGCUUGCUUCUCCGGAUGAGUUGCGAACGGGUGAGUAACGCGUAGGUAACCUGCCUGGUAGCGGGGGAUAACUAUUGGAAACGAUAGCUAAUACCGCAUAACAGUAGAUGUUGCAUGACAUUUGCUUAAAAGGUGCAAUUGCAUCACUACCAGAUGGACCUGCGUUGUAUUAGCUAGUUGGUGAGGUAACGGCUCACCAAGGCGACGAUACAUAGCCGACCUGAGAGGGUGAUCGGCCAAACUGGGACUGGGACACGGCCCAGACUCCUACGGGAGGCAGCAGUAGGGAAUCUUCGGCAAUGGACGGAAGUCUGACCGAGCAACGCCGCGUGAGUGAAGAAGGUUUUCGGAUCGUAAAGCUCUGUUGUAAGAGAAGAACGAGUGUGAGAGUGGAAAGUUCACACUGUGACGGUAUCUUACCAGAAAGGGACGGCUAACUACGUG